GAAGCUGACCAGACAGUCGCCGCUUCGUCGUCGUCCUUUCGGGGAGACGGGCGGAGGGGAGGAAAGUCCGGGCUCCAUAGGGCAGGGUGCCAGGUAACGCCUGGGGGGGGAAACCCACGACCAGUGCAACAGAGAGCAAACCGCCGAUGGCCCACGCAAGUGGGAUCAGGUAAGGGUGAAAGGGUGCGGUAAGAGCGCACCGCGCGGCUGGUAACAGUCCGUGGCACGGUAAACUCCACCCGGAGCAAGGCCAAAUAGGGGUUCAUAAGGUACGGCCCGUACUGAACCCGGGUAGGCUGCUUGAGCCAGUGAGCGAUUGCUGGCCUAGAUGAAUGACUGUCCACGACAGAACCCGGCUUAUCGGUCAG
Molecule: RNase P RNA, 368 nt
Filed under: Salmonella enterica subsp. enterica serovar Typhi
Lineage: Bacteria; Pseudomonadati; Pseudomonadota; Gammaproteobacteria; Enterobacterales; Enterobacteriaceae
Description: partial RNase P RNA component class A
Rfam family: Bacterial RNase P class A
About the family: Ribonuclease P (RNase P) is a ubiquitous endoribonuclease, found in archaea, bacteria and eukarya as well as chloroplasts and mitochondria. Its best characterised activity is the generation of mature 5'-ends of tRNAs by cleaving the 5'-leader elements of precursor-tRNAs.
Source: RNAcentral